GGGAAAGGCUACCCACUCCAGUAUUCUGGCCUGAAGAAUUCCAUGGACUGUAUAGUCUAUGAGGUCGCAAAGAGUCAGACAUGACUGAGCAACUUUCAGUUUGCGUAACUUACACUGCACAGGGCACGGGUUCGAUCCCUGGUUGGAGAAUUAAGAUCCUUGAGAAAAACAUCCUCCACCACUCAUCCCUCAAAUGCAACCAGGAUGUUUGUUUUACAGCUGAAUCUUGUUUCGAGCAAAGUGAGCAUGUAAAGUUGAGAGAUGAAGCUUCACUUAACUCUUUUCACCACACAAAGCUCCCCAGAUGUGGACUUCCCUGGCAGUCCAGUGGUUAAGACUCUGUGCUUCCAAUGCAGGGGGUUUGGGUUGAAGAACUAAGAUUUCACAUGCCCCGCAUGGCCAAAAUUUUUUUUUAAUUUUUUAAAGGAGGAAAAAGAGCUCCCCAGAUGCACUCAUUCACUGCUGGCUUACUGCAUAUAAGGUCCUCUAUUAGGAACUGAAAAUUCAAAUCCUACUGCAAUAUAAUCCGUCCCCAGCAAAGAAAGUAAGUUGCAUCUUCACAUUCAUGCACAGACAGGAGUAAUGUGAUGUCUUCCAGGGGAGGCUCACCAAGGUGAGUUUGGGAAUCUGGAGGUGAGUUUGAAAGGAGUGGUGCCUGAGCUGGGCUCUAGAGAACAGGGAACUUGCCACUCAGAAGUUGGAAUGCCCUCCACAUGGAAGAGACAUCAGCAGCACAGGACUAGGGGAGGAUCCAUGGACCAUGCAUACAUGUGAGCUAAGUCGCUUCAGUUGUGUCUGACUCUUUGCAACUCUAUGGACUGUAGCUCCCAAGUUCCUCUGCCUUAACAGCUGUAUGGUCUUACUGUGCAUGUGUGCGUAAUCAGCCGCUUCAGCUGUGUCUUUUGUGACACCCCUGCCCGCCCCCCUGCCCAUGGACUGUAGCCUGCCAGGAUCCUCUGUCCAUGGAGAUUCUCCAGGCAAGGAUACUGGAGUGGGUUGCUGUGCCCUCCUCCAGGGCAUCCUCCCCACUUAAAGAUCGAACCAGCACCUAUGUUCCUGCAUUGGCAGGUCCCUCCCUGGUACUUUCUACUGAGUGGAUCACGAAGAAAUGAAAUGCGAUCGUGGCUAGGAGCAUCUGGCAGCAUCAGGCACAUGGCACGUGAUCACUGAAUGUCAGGUUCCAUCUCCACAUCUGAGGUGCUGGGACGAUGAACAACAAAUGAAAGACUUUGGGGGACCCUUGAGGAAGGAAGAGGCCAAUAAAAGAGGAUUCUGAAGUGGGUGGUGGUGGUGGUGAAGGAAGAGGUGCCUGGAGGAAAGAACCCAAAGCUUCUGAGUUGAGGUUCUGCUCCACGGCAGGCCACUUUACGGGUGCUGGAAAAAUACUCCCCAUCACAUUGGUCUUUGGUUUGUCCCCCAACAACACUGUGUUCCAGG
Bos taurus (domestic cattle) is the source of this 1437-nucleotide long non-coding RNA. NCBI's taxonomy places the organism in Eukaryota, Metazoa, Chordata, Mammalia, Artiodactyla, Bovidae. The record is from Ensembl.